Molecule: ribosomal RNA, 251 nt
Filed under: uncultured bacterium
Lineage: Bacteria
Description: partial 16S ribosomal RNA
Rfam family: Bacterial small subunit ribosomal RNA
Source: RNAcentral
UACGUAGGUGGCAAGCGUUGUCCGGAUUUAUUGGGUGUAAAGGGCGUGUAGGCGGGACUGCAAGUCAGAUGUGAAAACCACGGGCUCAACCUGUGGCCUGCAUUUGAAACUGUAGUUCUUGAGUACUGGAGAGGCAGACGGAAUUCCUAGUGUAGCGGUGAAAUGCGUAGAUAUUAGGAGGAACACCAGUGGCGAAGGCGGUCUGCUGGACAGCAACUGACGCUGAGGCGCGAAAGCGCGGGGAGCAAACA